CCGUCUCAACAAUAUCGGUAUGACGGCAAUUCCGUUCGAACAAGAUCAAUAUCAGUAUCAAUACAAUGUGAACUGUUAAGGGUUGUUUGUUUUUCCAAUAAGAGCUUCCGUCGCGCAGACCACACGCAGACCUUUGAGUUUGAAGACUGUUUGUUUUCUCGAAGACCUUUCAUUAAAAAAGGUCUGCGCGUCCUCUUUUUGGUGCAGAUGUGAACUCUACUCUUCUAACCUCUUUUUCUCCUUUGCCAUAUUCUCAAAACACAGAUGCUCCUCCUCCCACACAACCCCUAGCACCUUCUCCUCCACCCCUUACUCCUCCCAGCCGCCACCUCCACAUCGCCGCCCACUCCGCGACCUCCACAGCGUCGACCACUUCGCCAACCUCCACAGCGUCGCCGUCACCUCCACUCCUCUCCUCAACCGACGCCGUCGACCACCCCUCCUCCUUCAACAGAACUCGUCGACCACCCCUUUCUCCCUCAACAACAAGCAACAACUGUUAUAGCUCACUCCUCUCCUCCUUAAGAGUGCAGAGGUUUGGUUCACCUCUUCAGCUACAGAUAUGGUUCGCAGACUGUAGACGUUUUACCUCUGAAAAAACAAAAAACACCUUAGUAAUAUUCGUUUUUACAAUGUUGAUCAAUGUAAAACACGUAUCACUAUCCUUUGGGGUAUACAAUGACUCUUUUUAUUGCUA
Helianthus annuus (common sunflower) is the source of this 697-nucleotide long non-coding RNA. RefSeq lists it as uncharacterized. The record is from RefSeq and is a predicted model, not a curated record. The transcript has 2 exons. Lineage: Eukaryota; Viridiplantae; Streptophyta; Magnoliopsida; Asterales; Asteraceae.